GACGAACGCUGGCGGCGUGCUUAACACAUGCAAGUCGAACGGAAAGGCCCUGCUUUUGUGGGGUGCUCGAGUGGCGAACGGGUGAGUAACACGUGAGUAACCUGCCCUUGACUUUGGGAUAACUUCAGGAAACUGGGGCUAAUACCGGAUAGGAGCUCCUGCUGCAUGGUGGGGGUUGGAAAGUUUCGGCGGUUGGGGAUGGACUCGCGGCUUAUCAGCUUGUUGGUGGGGUAGUGGCUUACCAAGGCUUUGACGGGUAGCCGGCCUGAGAGGGUGACCGGCCACAUUGGGACUGAGAUGCGGCCCAGACUCCUGCGGGAGGCAGCAGUGGGGAAUAUUGCACAAUGGGCGGAAGCCUGAUGCAGCAACGCCGCGUGCGGGAUGACGGCCUUCGGGUUGUAAACCGCUUUCGCCUGUGACGAAGCGUGAGUGACGGUAAUGGGUAAAGAAGCACCGGCUAACUACGUG
RNAcentral lists this ribosomal RNA (468 nucleotides) under uncultured bacterium. RNAcentral's name for it is "partial 16S ribosomal RNA". It matches the Rfam family "Bacterial small subunit ribosomal RNA", at positions 28 to 507 of the family's 1533-position model. The record is from RNAcentral.